RNAcentral lists this unclassified non-coding RNA (255 nucleotides) under plant metagenome. RNAcentral's name for it is "partial contains small subunit ribosomal RNA and internal transcribed spacer 1". The stretch from base 1 to 45 matches the Rfam family "Eukaryotic small subunit ribosomal RNA", at positions 1787 to 1831 of the family's 1831-position model. The record is from RNAcentral.
AGUCGUAACAAGGUUUCCGUAGGUGAACCUGCGGAAGGAUCAUUACCGAGAUAGGGUCACCCUUCGGGGAAGCCCGACCUCCAACCCUUUGUCUAUUAUACCUCUGUUGCCUCGGCGGGUCGUUGAGAGGAGCCCUGGAGACGGGGCCUCGCUCACCGUCGGUCACCGAUUUCGAUGACCUUCGCGCGCUCGCCGGUGGACCAAAUCAAAACCCUUUAUAACAAGUCGUCUGAGUGAUUUUAUAAUACUUCAAAA